CAUUACCACCUCCUGGUCGUCCACAGAGGCCUUCCUCCCACCACACUCCUCCUCCUCCUCCUCCUCCUCCUCUUCCCGGGGCCGGUCGGAGCCCGACCCCCCCAGGCCGAAGCCCAGGGCGCCGCCCCUGGAGUCCUCCUCCCCCGGGACAGUCCCCUCGCUGGCUGCAUGCUGAACACAUCACACCACACCCCUCUCUUCAUCCUCAUCAUCCUUCUCAUCUUCCUCCUCCUAACCUGGAGUGUACCGGACCACCAACCGCCGCAUCAUUCAUCUGUCGUUGUAUUCUGUUCAUCAUAGUGCUACUGAAUCCCCAGUGGACCACACGACAAACUUACACCCUAGCCAUUCCUCCACCCAUCUAUCCAUCUAGCAUCUAACUCCCCUUAUCCAUCAUCCAACCAUCUGUCCCUCUACAAUUCAUCCAUCUAUCAUCACUCUUAUCCAACCAUCUACCACUCUGUUUAUCCAUCCAUCCCUCCACCCAUCCAGCCAUCGAUAUACUGGUGAGAUGAUGAUAGAGUAGAUGAGUCUUACCUUCAGGACAGCUGUUGACAAAGAAAAGAGAAUGUGUUAAACAUACACGUAGGUACAAAGACAUAUAUACUGCUGCUUUUCUGCUAAAUGUUGGUCUAAGGUUGGACCAGUAGGUGGUCUAGGAUUUAAGGUUAGACCAGUAGGUCAUCUAGGAUCUAGGGUUAGACCAGGAGGUGGUUUAAGGUCUAGAGUUUGACCAGGACCUAGUAAGUUAAAGGUUUAAUCAAGUGUAAACUCACCUUUGGUGCCCUCAAAGAAUUUUUUAAUUGGUUCUGAAGAAAGAAAUAAACAGAAUCCAUGAGGUUAUACUACAUUCACUCCCAUUAUAACUUAUCUCUGGAGGAGUCCCACCAAAACCUUUUGUUAUAUACAAAGUUAUAUAAACCCACAUUAUACAUAACCUUGAUAACAUGAUUGAAUAGAAACAGUACACUGUCAGUACACAGUUGAGAUGAUACAAUGAGGUGUGUAGUGAUAUUGUAGAGGGGUAUUGAUAUUUAUAGUAUAUGUCUAUAUAUGGAAAUAUUUAAAUAGCAGUGAUCUCAUUGGGUGGAGAAGCUUGUCCAUCAAACCCACCUGACUGGCGUCGCCCCUGACGAUUAGUAGGCAGCGGAUCGUCUGUUUGGACGGACAGAGCCUUCUUCAGCCGGUCGGGGCUGUAGCGGUACUUAGACGGAUCUGUCGUGAAGGGUUUUAUUUAUCAAACGUACAAUGACAUUCUGAGGACAUGGUUAGGGUCGACUACAUGGCACGCUAUUUAUCCCACUAUUACUGACAUGAUCAAUCCCAAACACAAUCCAUUCAUUUUAUAUCAAAUGUGAGACUAGGAAUAGUUAUGAAAAAAACCACUCACAUAUUGAGUCCAUUUCCAAGAUGGCUUCCUUUGCCUGAAAUAAACACAAGAGGAGUCACCUUCCACACAGCUUCAAACUGGAGUGGAAGUACUGUGUUUGUGUACCGGGGAUAGUGUGUUGAAUUUGAUGUGUUGUGGUACAGGCUAGUUUGGCGUGGAGGAGUAAGGUGUGGCAGAGUUAAUGUGUUACGGAGGCUAAUGGUGGUUGACCUUCUGAGGGAUGAUGGCAUGGUGGUUCUCCAGGAUGAUCCGUUUGAUGUGGUGGGACCACAGCUUCUUCUCUUCCAGGUUACGAGCCUUGAAGUAGCAAGAACACGCAGAGGUCAGAGCAGACCUGGGAUCUAGGACAGCUACUAACUAUUAAUCCUUCAUCCAAAGUGAAUGACAGUGAAUUCAGAUACAUAUAAUUAAGAAGCAGGUUAGAGGGCAUCUUGCUUUAGGAUGACUCAUGGUAGACUAAUGCGGACAUUGGUGAUCGAACCCAGCUUGGAGUUUCUGCUUGGACUAGACUAGCACUAGACUAACCACUAAUACUAUGUUUAUCGAUCACUUGCUGUCAAAGUUAGAAAAAGUUAGAAAAUAAGAUAUGAAUGCACCAUAUUCAUCCCAAACAGGAAAGACAGACAGACAGCCAGACAGUUCAUUUACCAUCUGGGAUGAAUGCAAACGUCUCAUCUGUAUGAAUGAGUACUUCCUGAUAUUGUGGGGUGUUCUCACCUGCACAGUGUGGGACUGUUUGGGGUGUUUGUAGUGCGUGACACUGAAGCUCAGAGAGUCCUUGGCGCUCUCGAUCAGCAUCAGAGUGGAGCACUGGAACGGACAGUCAACACCGUGAGUGGGAGUAGAAGCAGACGCGAGUCCAGUACUGACGGCGCUGAUCAGUAAGACCUCCUGUUGUUACUCGGAGUUCAGGAUCUUAGGUUAUUAGGUGCAGAAAUACAAGAUCCAAAUAUACGAUAAAAAGGAUAUGUAUAUGUUGAGGAUAUACAAUAAAAUAAAGAUGGAUAAAUAUAUAUACAUUUAUUCUACUUCAUUUAAGAAUGCUCGAUUCUGAUUGGCUGGGAGGGGUGCAUUAAUCCGGCAUAUUGCCCGCUGACUUGUCGGUUCUACUUGCUGCUGACUGAGCACAGUAGAUCAAUACGCCGCUUGUAUCGUUUUCUAUCACAUACAUUUCCAACAUGAGGUCCAUAGUAAAAAUAAACCAAGGAGUGCAUGUUU
Gadus macrocephalus (Pacific cod) is the source of this 2608-nucleotide long non-coding RNA. RefSeq lists it as uncharacterized. The record is from RefSeq and is a predicted model, not a curated record. The transcript has 2 exons. NCBI's taxonomy places the organism in Eukaryota, Metazoa, Chordata, Actinopteri, Gadiformes, Gadidae.